Molecule: ribosomal RNA, 329 nt
Filed under: uncultured eukaryote
Lineage: Eukaryota
Description: partial 18S ribosomal RNA
Rfam family: Eukaryotic small subunit ribosomal RNA
Source: RNAcentral
CCCUUAGAUGUUCUGGGCUGCACACGUGCUACACUGGCAGGUUCAGCGAGCUUCAUGCCCUGAUCUGAAAGGAAUGGGAAAUCUUUUCAAAACCUGCCGUGCUUGGGAUAGAUGUUUGCAAUUAUUCAUCUUCAACGAGGAUUGCCUUGUAAGCGCACGUCAUCAGCGUGCAUUGAAUACGACCCUGUAUUCUGUACACACCGCCCGUCGCUCCUACCGAUUGAGUGGUCCGGUGAGGCUUUGGGAUCUGGGCGGAAAGAGCGUUUCGCUGUUUCUGCCCGGAAAACUCAGUCGAACCUUAUCAUUUAGAGGAAGGAGAAGUCGUAACA